AGAGUUUGAUCCUGGCUCAGGACGAACGCUGGCGGCACGCUUAACACAUGCAAGUCGAACGAGAGAAGAGGAGCUUGCUUUUCUGAUCUAGUGGCGGACGGGUGAGUAACACGUGAGCAAUCUGCCUUUCAGAGGGGGAUACCGAUUGGAAACGAUCGUUAAUACCGCAUAACAUAAUUGAACCGCAUGAUUUGAUUAUCAAAGAUUUAUCGCUGAAAGAUGAGCUCGCGUCUGAUUAGCUAGUUGGUAAGGUAACGGCUUACCAAGGCGACGAUCAGUAGCCGGACUGAGAGGUUGAUCGGCCACAUUGGGACUGAGACACGGCCCAGACUCCUACGGGAGGCAGCAGUGGGGAAUAUUGCACAAUGGAGGAAACUCUGAUGCAGCGAUGCCGCGUGAGGGAAGAAGGUUUUAGGAUUGUAAACCUCUGUCUUCAGGGACGAAAAAAGACGGUACCUGAGGAGGAAGCUCCGGCUAACUACGUGCCAGCAGCCGCGGUAAUACGUAGGGAGCGAGCGUUGUCCGGAAUUACUGGGCGUAAAGGGAGCGUAGGCGGGAUCGCAAGUCAGAUGUGAAAACUAUGGGCUUAACCCAUAAACUGCAUUUGAAACUGUGGUUCUUGAGUGAAGUAGAGGUAAGCGGAAUUCCUAGUGUAGCGGUGAAAUGCGUAGAUAUUAGGAGGAACAUCAGUGGCGAAGGCGGCUUACUGGGCUUUAACUGACGCUGAGGCUCGAAAGCGUGGGGAGCAAACAGGAUUAGAUACCCUGGUAGUCCACGCCGUAAACGAUGAUUACUAGGUGUGGGGGGACUGACCCCUUCCGUGCCGCAGCAAACGCAAUAAGUAAUCCACCUGGGGAGUACGACCGCAAGGUUGAAACUCAAAGGAAUUGACGGGGGCCCGCACAAGCAGUGGAGUAUGUGGAUUAAUUCGAAGCAACGCGAAGAACCUUACCAGGUCUUGACAUCGUAUGCAUAGCUCAGAGAUGAGUGAAAUCUCUUCGGAGACAUAUAGACAGGUGGUGCAUGGUUGUCGUCAGCUCGUGUCGUGAGAUGUUGGGUUAAGUCCCGCAACGAGCGCAACCCUUACUGUUAGUUGCUACGCAAGAGCACUCUAGCAGGACUGCCGUUGACAAAACGGAGGAAGGUGGGGAUGACGUCAAAUCAUCAUGCCCCUUGUGACCUGGGCCUCACACGUACUACAAUGGCUGUCAACAGAGGGAAGCAAAGCCGCGAGGUGGAGCGAACCCCUAAAAGCAGUCUUAGUUCGGAUUGUAGGCUGCAACCCGCCUACAUGAAGUCGGAAUUGCUAGUAAUCGCAGAUCAGCAUGCUGCGGUGAAUACGUUCCCGGGCCUUGUACACACCGCCCGUCACGCCAU
This 1377-nucleotide ribosomal RNA is filed under the name metagenome. RNAcentral describes it as "bacterial SSU rRNA". It matches the Rfam family "Bacterial small subunit ribosomal RNA". The record is from RNAcentral.